GACGAACGCUGGCGGCGGGCUUAACACAUGCCAGUCGAACGGAAAGGCCCUGCUUUCUUGGGGUUCUCGAGUGGCGAACGGGUGAGUAACACGUGAGUAACCUGCUCUAGACUUUGGGAUAACUUCAGGAAACUGGGGCUAAUAUCGGAUAGGAUCUCCUGCUGCGUUGUGGGGGGUGGAAAGUUUCGGCGGUUGGGGAUGGACUCGCGGCUUAUCAGCUUGUUAGUGGGGUAGGGGCUUACCAAGGCUUUGACGGGUAGCCGGCCUGAGAGGGUGACCGGCCACAUUGGGACUGAGAUACGGCCCAGACUCCUACGGGAGGCAGCAGUGGGGAAUAUUGCACAAUGGGCGGAAGCCUGAUGCAGCAACGCCGCGUGCGGGAUGACGGCCUUCGGGUUGUAAACCGUUUUCGCCUGUGACGAAGCGUGAGUGACGGUAAUGGGUAAAGAAGCACCGGCUAACUACGUG
RNAcentral lists this ribosomal RNA (468 nucleotides) under uncultured bacterium. RNAcentral's name for it is "partial 16S ribosomal RNA". It matches the Rfam family "Bacterial small subunit ribosomal RNA", at positions 28 to 507 of the family's 1533-position model. The record is from RNAcentral.